This 254-nucleotide ribosomal RNA is filed under the name uncultured bacterium. RNAcentral's name for it is "partial 16S ribosomal RNA". It matches the Rfam family "Bacterial small subunit ribosomal RNA", at positions 524 to 776 of the family's 1533-position model. The record is from RNAcentral.
UACGUAGGGUGCGAGCGUUGCCCCGGAUUUAUUGGGCGUAAAGGGCGCGUAGGCGGCCACGCACGUCCGUUGUGAAAUCGCCCGGCUCAACUGGGCGGGGUCGGCGGAUACGGCGUGGCUGGAGCAAGCUAGGGGGCAAUGGAAUUCCCGGUGUAGUGGUGGAAUGCGUAGAUAUCGGGAGGAACACCAGUGGCGAAGGCGGUUGCCUGGAGCUUUGCUGACGCUGAGGCGCGAAAGCGUGGGGAGCGAACAGG